GACGAACGCUGGCGGCGUGCUUAACACAUGCAAGUCGAACGGAAAGGCCCUGCUUUUGUGGGGUGCUCGAGUGGCGAACGGGUGAGUAACACGUGAGUAACCUGCCCUUGACUUUGGGAUAACUUCAGGAAACUGGGGCUAAUACCGGAUAGGAGCUCCUGCUGCAUGGUGGGGGUUGGAAAGUUUCGGCGGUUGGGGAUGGACUCGCGGCUUAUCAGCUUGUUGGUGGGGUAGUGGCUUACCAAGGCUUUGACGGGUAGCCGGCCUCAGAGGGUGACCGGCCACAUUGGGACUGAGAUACGGCCCAGACUCCUACGGGAGGCAGCAGUGGGGAAUAUUGCACAAUGGGCGGAAGCCUGAUGCAGCAACGCCGCGUGCGGGAUGACGGCCUUCGGGUUGUAAACCGCUUUCGCCUGUGACGAAGCGUGAGUGACGGUAAUGGGUAAAGAAGCACCAGCUAACUACGUG
Molecule: ribosomal RNA, 468 nt
Filed under: uncultured bacterium
Lineage: Bacteria
Description: partial 16S ribosomal RNA
Rfam family: Bacterial small subunit ribosomal RNA
Source: RNAcentral